CAGAGUUGAAAAACUCCCUAAACCCUUUGUUUAUAUACCUGUUCAGUUGCUUCGGCAGGCGGCCCCAGGGCGGGGCCUCCAGCCUGCUCACGCAGGUGCCUGCCGCUGGCGCAAACUCUUGUUAUAUUUUUAAUAUUCUGAGUCUCUCAAAUGAAUCA
Molecule: unclassified non-coding RNA, 158 nt
Filed under: uncultured Conlarium
Lineage: Eukaryota; Fungi; Ascomycota; Sordariomycetes
Description: sequence contains ITS1
Source: RNAcentral